GAUUUACUUCGGUAAUGACGUUGGGAAAGCGAGCGGCGGAUGGGUGAGUAACACGUGGGGAACCUGCCCCUAAGUCUGGGAUACCAUUUGGAAACAGGUGCUAAUACCGGAUAAUAAAGCAGAUCGCAUGAUCAGCUUUUGAAAGGCGGCGUAAGCUGUCGCUAAGGGAUGGCCCCGCGGUGCAUUAGCUAGUUGGUAAGGUAACGGCUUACCAAGGCGACGAUGCAUAGCCGAGUUGAGAGACUGAUCGGCCACAUUGGGACUGAGACACGGCCCAAACUCCUACGGGAGGCAGCAGUAGGGAAUCUUCCACAAUGGACGCAAGUCUGAUGGAGCAACGCCGCGUGAGUGAAGAAGGUUUUCGGAUCGUAAAGCUCUGUUGUUGGUGAAGAAGGAUAGAGGUAGUAACUGGCCUUUAUUUGACGGUAAUCAACCAGAAAGUCACGGCUAACUACGUGCCAGCAGCCGCGGUAAUACGUAGGUGGCAAGCGUUGUUCGGAUUUAUUGGGCGUAAAGCGAGCGCAGGCGGAAAAAUAAGUCUAAUGUGAAAGCCCUCGGCUUAACCGAGGAACUG
RNAcentral lists this ribosomal RNA (574 nucleotides) under uncultured bacterium. Its description in RNAcentral is "bacterial SSU rRNA". It matches the Rfam family "Bacterial small subunit ribosomal RNA", at positions 68 to 623 of the family's 1533-position model. The record is from RNAcentral.